Molecule: RNA transcript, 1843 nt
Organism: Nelumbo nucifera (sacred lotus)
Lineage: Eukaryota; Viridiplantae; Streptophyta; Magnoliopsida; Proteales; Nelumbonaceae
Gene name: Integrase-type DNA-binding superfamily protein
Source: RefSeq, a predicted model, not a curated record
GAUGGCUGUUUUAGUAAUUUGACACAAGAAAUCCGUGCUGCCAUUGUUCUUCCUGCCUGCCUCCGCACUCUGGAGCGAGGAACGAAGGAAAUUUGAAUAAAGAAGAGUAAGCUUUCGAGUGUUACUUAACUGCCAUUUUUUCAACUGUGCUUGUUAUGAUUCGUCUCUCUCUCUCUCUCUCUCUCUCUUUGGAUCGCUUUGUUUUAAGAGGGUUGUUUAGUUUCGAGAAUUGGAGUUAGGGUUUCGUUUGGAUCAUGGCUUCUUCUUCUUCCGAGCCUGGAUUGAAGGCUGAGGGAGGGGGAGGGGGUGGUGGAGAAACUUCCGAGGCUGUAAUGGCGAACGAUCAGCUUCUGCUCUAUAGGGGAUUGAAGAAAGCUAAGAAGGAGCGGCCUUGUACGGCCAAGGAGAGGAUCAGCAAAAUGCCGCCUUGUGCUGCCGGAAAGAGGAGCUCAAAGUACAGAGGAGUAACCAGGCAUAGAUGGACUGGGCGAUAUGAAGCUCACCUUUGGGAUAAAAGCACUUGGAAUCAGAACCAGAAUAAGAAGGGAAAACAAGUUUACUUGGGUGCAUAUGAUGAAGAAGAGGCUGCUGCUAGAGCAUAUGAUCUGGCUGCUCUAAAAUAUUGGGGUCCUGGGACACUAAUUAAUUUUCCAGUUACUGAUUAUUCAAGAGAUCUUGAUGAGAUGCAGCAUGUUUCAAGAGAAGAAUAUCUUGCAUCCCUCAGAAGGAAAAGUAGUGGUUUCUCAAGAGGAAUCUCUAAAUAUCGUGGACUCUCUAGGCCACCACAAAGUAGUCAAUGGGAGUCAUCCUUUGGCCGUAUGGUUGGGCCUGAUUAUCUUAACAGCAUACACUAUGGUACAGGUGAAGAUGCAACAACAGAGAGUGAAUACGCAGGUGGUUUUUGCAUUGAGAGAAAAAUUGAUCUGACAAAUUGCAUCAAGUGGUGGGGCCCCAAUAAAAUCCGUCGUCCAGAAUCUCUCUCUAAAUCUUUAGAAGAAACAAGACAUGGUGGUUCAGAAGAUAUUGGCAAUGAGCUUAAAACAUUAGAAUGGACCAUCAAACCUACUGAGCCAUACCAAUUGCCUCUUCUGGGCCUAUCCUGUGAAGGCAAAAAGCAUAAAGGGUCUCCAGUAUCAGCAUUGAGCAUCUUGUCACGCUCUGCUGCCUAUAAGAGUUUGCAAGAGAAAGCAUCAAAAAGGAAGGACAACAAUGACAAUGAUGAAAAUGAGAACAACAUCAACAACAGGAAAAUGGAUUAUGGAAAGGCAAUAGAGAAACCGACAAGUGGUGAGGGUGGGAGUGACAGGACAGCAAUCACAUUAGGCAUGAGUGGGUUGCCACUUCAUAGAAAUUUGUACCCAUUGACUCCUUUCCUUUCUGCACCAAUUCUUACCAACUACAAUGCCGUUGAGCCUAUAGCAGACCCCAUUCUUUGGACAUCACUUGUUCCCAUCUUACCAACUGGAAUUUCUCGCCCUACAGAGGUUACCAAAUCUGAGGCAGAUCCAACAUAUACUCUCUUUCAUCCAGGGGAAUAAAUGAUGUUAAGUUUACUGAGUCAUUGUAGCUACAUAUCUCCUUUUUGUAUGAACAAAAGGUUUUUCUUCACUUAGAGAUUUCGAACAACCGGUGACAACGCUGAGCCCUCCUUUAGCCUCACGAAGACAACAGGCACCUUUGGUUCUUUUCGAUACACAUGUACUAGAGAUGUCCUUCCCAAACAGCACCUCCUUUUCUGCAUCUUCUAAAUAGGAAGAGAAGAACUUGAAAAUAUGGAAAAAAGCCGGAAGUAAUUCUAUAAGAUUUACUGACUUGUUUGUGCCUAUUUAGGGCUGAAGAACUA